UGGACUGACUGUACUCAGCUACUGUGUGU
RNAcentral lists this non-coding RNA (29 nucleotides) under Rattus norvegicus (Norway rat). Lineage: Eukaryota; Metazoa; Chordata; Mammalia; Rodentia; Muridae. The record is from RNAcentral.